RNAcentral lists this ribosomal RNA (407 nucleotides) under uncultured bacterium. Its description in RNAcentral is "partial 16S ribosomal RNA". It matches the Rfam family "Bacterial small subunit ribosomal RNA", at positions 30 to 526 of the family's 1533-position model. The record is from RNAcentral.
AUUGAACGCUGGCGGCAGGCCUAACACAUGCAAGUCGAGCGGAGCGGCGGACGGGUGAGUAAUGCCUAGGAAUCUGCCUGGUAGUGGGGGAUAACGUCCGGAAACGGGCGCUAAUACCGCAUACUAUCAGAUGAGCCUAGGUCGGAUUAGCUAGUUGGUGGGGUAAAGGCCUAACAAGGCGACGAUCCGUAACUGGUCUGCAAGGAUGAUCAGUCAACCAGAAACUGAGACCGGGUCCAGACUCCAAAGGUAGACAGCAGUGUGGAAUAUUGGACAGUGGGCCAAAGCCUGAACCAGGCAUGCCGCGUUUGGGAAGAAGGUUUUAGGAUUGUAGAGCACUCUAAGUUGAGAGGCGUUACCAACAAAGUAAGCACCGGCUAACUUCGUGCCAGCAGCCGCGGUAAUUC